GAUGAACGCUGGCGGCGUGCCUAAUACAUGCAAGUCGAACGGAGAAUGUAGCAAUACGUUCUUAGUGGCGAACGGGUGAGUAACGCGUUGGUGACCUGCCCCGAAGAGGGGGAUAACAGUUCGAAAGGAUUGCUAAUACCCCAUGUGGUCCCUGGGAUUAGAUGCCCGGUGACUAAAGGAGUCUCUUCACUUCGGGAGGGGCCUGCGUCCCAUCAGCUAGUUGGUAGGGUAAUGGCCUACCAAGGCUUCGACGGGUAGGGGGCCUGAGAGGGUGGCCCCCACACUGGCACUGAAACACGGGCCAGACACCUACGGGAGGCUG
RNAcentral lists this ribosomal RNA (322 nucleotides) under uncultured Chloroflexota bacterium. RNAcentral's name for it is "bacterial SSU rRNA". It matches the Rfam family "Bacterial small subunit ribosomal RNA", at positions 28 to 351 of the family's 1533-position model. The record is from RNAcentral. Lineage: Bacteria; Bacillati; Chloroflexota.